AAAAUAAAUAGUUUUUUAAUUGAAAACUUGAAUGAAAGAGUUAAUAAAAUAUAAAUUGUCUCAAAUUAAUAAAAAUAAUUUAAAUUAAAAGUAAAAAUACUUUUAUAUUUUUAUUAGACGAUAAGACCCUAAGAAUUUGAUUAUUUGUAUUUUUAUUUAAUUUUUAUAAUAAAUAUAUAAAAAUAUAAAUUAUUUUAUUGGGAGGGUAAAUAAAUUUUUAAACUUUAGUUUUAAUAAAAUAUUUUUAGAUAAAUUUUUAAUGAUUAUUAUUAAGAUUAUAAGAAUAAAUUACCUUAGGGAUAACAGCGUGAUAAUUUUGGAGAGUUCAUAUUGAUAAAAUUGUUUAC
RNAcentral lists this ribosomal RNA (347 nucleotides) under Asteloeca ujhelyii. Its description in RNAcentral is "partial 16S ribosomal RNA". Lineage: Eukaryota; Metazoa; Arthropoda; Insecta; Hymenoptera; Vespidae. The record is from RNAcentral.